Molecule: long non-coding RNA, 3312 nt
Organism: Macrobrachium nipponense
Lineage: Eukaryota; Metazoa; Arthropoda; Malacostraca; Decapoda; Palaemonidae
Exons: 3
Source: RefSeq, a predicted model, not a curated record
CCAUAGCUGAAACAGGAAGAGACGAACUUCAAGUUCUGGACGUUUGCGGUAACAAAUGAGUGUUCAAACAGUGGAUUUAUUCGUGUCGUCGGCCGUAAAUCUGAAAAUGCUACCAUCUUUUCUCGUCACUUCAAGGCGACAGACUACUAAAUAUAGAGGCAAGAGGGAGCUCUUCAACAAAUCUUGAACAAAGAUUAUCAUAUCCCGUGGCUGUUCCUACUACGCUCACCCACAACUCUUGAGCUCUCUUCAGGCGAUCUGCAGAUGGGGGACUUUCAAACAUGAAUUCAUGGCGAAGAAAAAAUGAAGAUGAAAAUUUAAGGCGCAAAUUAGAAAUAAACGCAGCAAAGAAGACAAACAGAUUGGAGUGGUGAGAAAGACCGCCUGGCCCGUGGCAGUGACUGAGCUGAUAUAGCGGUCUGUUCAAUUGUUACCUUUAGUAUUUGUUUAAACACUGAGAAAUAAAAGCGAAUUACUCUUUCCCAGAAGCGAUAAAAGAGCAGGAAAGUACCUUCUCAAAAACUAUUGUUAGCAAUAAUUUAUUGGAAAAGAAAUGGCGAGAGAAACAGAGACAGAGGGAAAGAGAGAGACAUAAAGACACACACACACACAAAGACAAAAUGAGAGAGAGACGCAGAAAUAGAGAGACCGACAGCUACACAGAGAGAGGAGAGAGAGAGAGAGAGAGAGAGAGAGAGAGAGUCAGUCAGAAAGGCAAACAGAGAGAGAGGCAGACAUAGAGAUAUAGAGAGACAGAGACAGGCAGAGAGACUCAGACAGAGACACACACCGAACCAGAAAGGCAAAGAGGGAGAGAGAGAGUAAGACAGAGACAGAAAGACAGACACAUAGAGAGAGAUAGAGAGACAGGCAGGCAGAUAGAAAGGCAAAGAGAGAAAGAGAGAGAGAGAGAGAGAGAGAGAGUCAGACAAAGAUAACCAGACAAUAACAGAGAGACAGACAUACGCAAUAGAGAUAGAAAGACAAAGAGAGAGAGAGAGAGAGAGAGAGCUCUUACCAACAGCAUCCUUUAACGGGCAUUCCAGGAAGGAGAGAGAGAGAGAUAAAGCAAGCCCAGCGCAUGACAUGACGUUACCUUGUUAGCGGGAACCUCCGGGGAUAUAUCUGAUACAAUGCCUCCAGGCAUUUGGUAAGAAGGCCAGAUGGCCACGAAUUGCUCCGUUUCUUCGUAACGACCCAGGAGAGACCAGAGGUGGUGGUGGUCCAGCUCUGCAGGGUUGCACACGCAGAAGUCCUUUCUUCUUCCCUUCUCUCUAAUUGAUAUGUAUAAUAUAUAUAUAUAUGUGUGUGUGUGUGUAUUGUAUAUGCACACGCAGAAGUCCUUUCUUCUUCCCUAUAUAACAAGGAGGAGAAAUUGAAAAGCUUAGUACCGAGUAUACAUAAGUAAACAUACAUAAUUCCAUGUAUGUGGGUUACUCGUAUAUCACCAAGAAUCCUUUUUGGGUCUCAGUGGACUGCGUAAAUGGCCUGUAGCACCUUUCGUGAAAAUGUAAUUAUGCGCAGACUCGUACACAAAGGUGUACGAAGAAAAGGUGAAACGUAAUCGUUGAAACGCGCGUAGUAUUUCCCAAAAGAUCAAGAUGAAUACCCUAUAUAGGCCUAACCUAUGUUUUGUUGAGUUUGCUUGGCGCCAAUUAUUUCGUCCGUUGCGAUGCCAGAUUAUACAAACAACUUUAUCGAGGUUGAUCAAAUAGUCUUAUCUCUUGACGUAAUGGAGGAAAGAAUGAUACAUUAUUCACCCGGUAAUACCCGCGAAUGCAACUGUCCUAUUAAUGAUAAACAUUCUCUCUCUCUCUCUCUCUCUCUCUCUCUCUCUCUCUCUCUCUCUCUCUCUCUCUCUCUCUCUCUCUCUCUCUCUCUCUCUCUCUCCUGUGUGUGUGAAUCUUAAAAGUAUUUCAGAGUUGAUUCAGCCAUUGCUCAUAACAUUUGUAUCCAGUUUUAUCAUUCCAGCCAAAUUAUUCCUAUUGAAAUUCUGCGGUACCUUGAAUAUUUGUAACGAUUAUUUUUUAUCAUAUUUUGCGGUUGAUAACCGAAUAUUUGUCCAGGAAAUGUACAGAUAAAAGUACUACACCCUAAGUUAUAUAGAGAAUGCUGAGAAGCACUAAUGUAUAUGUUGAAUGUAUACAUUACAAUGUCAGUUGUAAUGAAAAAAGACUCUCUCUCUCUCUCUCUCUCUCUCUCUCUCUCUCUCUCUCUCUCUCUCUCUCUCUUCUCUCAUGGAAUCACUGAAACAUGUAUGUGCCUAUACGUGCAAGCUGUAUGUUCGUGUGGACAUAAAUUCCCCGCAGAGUACAAAACCUGAAGUCAAUAACCUCUUGGUAAAUACCUCCAGCCACUGGUGGAAAAUAAGUAAAAUGUAUGGGAAAAUAAAUAAAGGAAAAUCAUUUCACCUUUGUAGGGCAAGCGUAAGGUCUCGGAGGGUUCCAAGUCGACCAAAUAAAUGAUUAUUGUUUCUCUCUCUCUCUCUCUCUCUCUCUCUCUCUCUCUCUCUCUCUCUCUCUCUUUUUUUUUUUUUUUUUUUUUUUUUUUUUUACGUCCCUUCUCCUCCCAAAAGAAAGGAAUUAUGUUUGGAAGGAAGUGUUAUCUCUCCUGCAGCCUCAGGUACGACUAAUGGUUUCUGCUACCGGAGGGAAAGGAACAGGUGAUAGUGGUGGUGGUCGUAGUUGAGGAGAGGCCGAAGCGACGGUGUGUCCAAAAGGGCUUCUUAAUUGCUGGAAGAAGAAGAAGAAAAAAAAGAAGAAGAAGAGAUAGAAGAAAUUCAGAGAAGAAUCAAGAACGGUUGAGGAGACCGAAGCGAUGGUGCCUCCAAAAGGACCUAAUCGUUGGAGGAAGAAGAAGAAGAAGAAAAGGAUAGAUAAGAAGUUUAAAGAACCAUUCAAUAACAACAACAAAAAAUAUUGAAGUUCGUUAAGAGGCAGGUGAUAGAGCAGACAAGAAAAAUCUACUGGAAAAAAUGUGCCCCAUACUAAAAUCAAAUUUCCCCCAUUUCUUAUUUCUGAUGAAGUAAAAAUGUUGUUGGUUUUAUUCUUUUAUUUUCGUGGAAAUUAUAAUCUCGUCUUGAACAUUUUCAUCAGUUUUCCUUACAAGGCAGUUAAAGAAACGUUUUUAGGUAUAUUCAGAGGCAACAAGCAAAUAGCCUUAUGAAUAGAUAGUUAAACGUUGCAUGAAAGUUAUCAGGUGCAUGACGGCACAGUACAACAUUACAAGAUGAUUACGUAAUGAUGAGAGACACAAAGACACAAAUGUAAAUGAGUGUAUAUAGUACAUUAUAUUUAGCCAAGGCCACAUGAA